UGAACGCUGGCGGUAGGCCUAACACAUGCACGUCGAACGGCAGCACAGUAAGAGCUUGCUCUUACGGGUGGCGAGUGGCGGACGGGUGAGGAAUACAUCGGAGUCUACUUUUUCGUGGGGGAUAACGUAGGGAAACUUACGCUAAUACCGCAUACGACCUACGGGUGAAAGCAGGGGAUCUUCGGACCUUGCGCGAUUGAAUGAGCCGAUGUCGGAUUAGCUAGUUGGCGGGGUAAAGGCCCACCAAGGCGACGAUCCGUAGCUGGUCUGAGAGGAUGAUCAGCCACACUGGAACUGAGACACGGUCCAGACUCCGACGGGAGGCAGCAGUGGGGAAUAUUGGACGAUGGGGGCAAGCCUGAUCCAGCCAUACCGCGUGGGUGAAGAAGGCCUUCGGGUUGUAAAGCCCUUUUGUUGGGAAAGAAAAGCAGCAGGUUAAUACCCCGCUGUUCUGACGGUACCCAAAGAAUAAGCACCGGCUAACUUCGUG
RNAcentral lists this ribosomal RNA (490 nucleotides) under uncultured bacterium. RNAcentral's name for it is "partial 16S ribosomal RNA". It matches the Rfam family "Bacterial small subunit ribosomal RNA", at positions 30 to 507 of the family's 1533-position model. The record is from RNAcentral.